GGGUAGGUGGCGGAAAGGUAGACGCGCUGGCCUCAGGAGCCAGUGGGCAAGACGCCUGUGGGGGUUCAAAUCCCCCCCUGCCCACCA
RNAcentral lists this transfer RNA (87 nucleotides) under Acetomicrobium sp. RNAcentral's name for it is "tRNA-Leu". It matches the Rfam family "tRNA". From Rfam's summary of the family: Transfer RNA (tRNA) molecules are approximately 80 nucleotides in length. Their secondary structure includes four short double-helical elements and three loops (D, anti-codon, and T loops). Further hydrogen bonds mediate the characteristic L-shaped molecular structure. tRNAs have two regions of fundamental functional importance: the anti-codon, which is responsible for specific mRNA codon recognition, and the 3' end, to which the tRNAs corresponding amino acid is attached (by aminoacyl-tRNA synthetases). tRNAs cope with the degeneracy of the genetic code in two manners: having more than one tRNA (with a specific anti-codon) for a particular amino acid; and 'wobble' base-pairing, i.e. permitting non-standard base-pairing at the 3rd anti-codon position. The record is from RNAcentral. Lineage: Bacteria; Thermotogati; Synergistota; Synergistia; Synergistales; Acetomicrobiaceae.